UGUUCGCCAAACAACUACGAGUCCUACUUAAAACUUAAAAGACUUGACGGUACUUCAUCACGGCCUAGAGGAGCCUGUCUAAUAACCGACAAUCCACGAUUAACCCCACCCCUUCUUGCCUUCAGUCUAUAUACCGCCGUCGCCAGCUUACCUUGUAAAAGAAAUAAAGUGAGCUAAACAGUACUUACACUAAAACGACAGGUCGAGGUGUAACCCAUGAAGGGGGCCAGGAUGGGCUACAUUCUCCAACCAAGAAUACGGAUAACACUAUGAAAUUAAUGUUUAAAGGCGGAUUUAGCAGUAAGAUAAGAAUAAAACACCUAACUGAACAUAACGCAAUGAAGUGCGUACACACCGCCCGUCACCCCUGUCACCAC
RNAcentral lists this ribosomal RNA (377 nucleotides) under Ovophis tonkinensis. Its description in RNAcentral is "partial 12S ribosomal RNA". Lineage: Eukaryota; Metazoa; Chordata; Lepidosauria; Squamata; Viperidae. The record is from RNAcentral.